Molecule: ribosomal RNA, 420 nt
Filed under: Acanthamoeba sp.
Lineage: Eukaryota; Discosea; Longamoebia; Acanthamoebidae
Description: SSU rRNA
Rfam family: Eukaryotic small subunit ribosomal RNA
Source: RNAcentral
GCCAGAUCCAAUUUUCUGCCACCGAAUACAUUAGCAUGGGAUAAUGGAAUAGGACCCUGUCCUCCUAUUUUCAGUUGGUUUUGGCAGCGCGAGGACUAGGGUAAUGAUUAAUAGGGAUAGUUGGGGGCAUUAAUAUUUAAUUGUCAGAGGUGAAAUUCUUGGAUUUAUGAAAGAUUAACUUCUGCGAAAGCAUCUGCCAAGGAUGUUUUCAUUAAUCAAGAACGAAAGUUAGGGGAUCGAAGACGAUCAGAUACCGUCGUAGUCUUAACCAUAAACGAUGCCGACCAGCGAUUAGGAGACGUUGAAUACAAAACACCACCAUCGGUUGCGGUCGUCCUUGGCGUCUCGGUUUCGGCCGGGGCGCGGGGACGGUUUAGCCCGGUGGCACCGGUGAAUGACUCCCCUAGCAGCUUGUGAGAA